UACGUAGGGAGCAAGCGUUAAUCGGAAUUACUGGGCGUAAAGCGUGCGCAGGCGGUGAUGUAAGACAGGUGUGAAAUCCCCGGGCUUAACCUGGGAACUGCAUUUGUGACUGCAUCGCUGGAGUGCGGCAGAGGGGGAUGGAAUUCCGCGUGUAGCAGUGAAAUGCGUAGAUAUGCGGAGGAACACCGAUGGCGAAGGCAAUCCCCUGGGCCUGCACUGACGCUCAUGCACGAAAGCGUGGGGAGCAAACAGG
This 253-nucleotide ribosomal RNA is filed under the name uncultured bacterium. RNAcentral's name for it is "partial 16S ribosomal RNA". It matches the Rfam family "Bacterial small subunit ribosomal RNA", at positions 524 to 776 of the family's 1533-position model. The record is from RNAcentral.